Molecule: ribosomal RNA, 507 nt
Filed under: uncultured bacterium
Lineage: Bacteria
Description: partial 16S ribosomal RNA
Rfam family: Bacterial small subunit ribosomal RNA
Source: RNAcentral
ACGAACGCUGGCGGCGUGCCUAAUACAUGCAAGUCGAACGCUUCUUUCCUCCCGAGUGCUUGCACUCGAUUGGAAAGAGGAGUGGCGGACGGGUGAGUAACACGUGGGUAACCUACCCAUCAGAGGGGGAUAACACUUGGAAACAGGUGCUAAUACCGCAUAACAGUUUAUGCCGCAUGGCAUAAGAGUGAAAGGCGCUUUCGGGUGUCGUUGAUGGAUGGACCCGCGGUGCAUUAGCUAGUUGGUGAGGUAACGGCUCACCAAGGCCACGAUGCAUAGCCGACCUGAGAGGGUGAUCGGCCACACUGGGACUGAGACACGGCCCAGACUCCUACGGGAGGCAGCAGUAGGGAAUCUUCGGCAAUGGACGAAAGUCUGACCGAGCAACGCCGCGUGAGUGAAGAAGGUUUUCGGAUCGUAAAACUCUGUUGUUAGAGAAGAACAAGGACGUUAGUAACUGAACGUCCCCUGACGGUAUCUAACCAGAAAGCCACGGCUAACUACGUG